GCUCACAAGAACACUUAUCCUGCCACGUGGCUGAGAUGGGUUCUGGGACAAUGUGAGCUAGAUCAAGAGUAUUGCUUUGGGAGUGUCUCAUUUCAGGACCCAUGGGGCACUACAGUUUUCAAUACAACACGU
Molecule: small nucleolar RNA, 132 nt
Filed under: Gallus gallus (chicken)
Lineage: Eukaryota; Metazoa; Chordata; Aves; Galliformes; Phasianidae
Description: GGoACA10 small nucleolar RNA
Source: RNAcentral